UGGAAGAAAAAGGCAUUUGGACAAAAGUGUGGGAUCUUCCCGAGUUCCGAGCCGAGCUAAAAAUUAAGCGCUUCGUUAUAAAAGUACGGCCGCAAGGCUAAAACUCAAAGGAAUUGACGGGGGCCCGCACAAGCGGCGGAGCAUGCGGAUUAAUUCGAUGCAACGCGAAGAACCUUACCAAGGCUUGACAUAUACCGGAAACUUCCAGAGAUGGUUGCCCCCUUUGGGUCGGUAUACAGGUGGUGCAUGGUUGUCGUCAGCUCGUGUCGUGAGAUGUUGGGUUAAGUCCCGCAACGAGCGCAACCCUCGUUCUAUGUUGCCAGCACGUUAUGGUGGGGACUCAUGGAAGACUGCCGGGGUCAACUCGGAGGAAGGUGGGGAUGACGUCAAAUCAUCAUGCCCCUUAUGUCUUGGGCUUCACGCAUGCUACAAUGGCCGGUACAAAGGGCUGCGAUACCGCAAGGUGGAGCGAAUCCCAAAAAACCGGUCUCAGUUCGGAUUGGGGUCUGCUACUCGACCCCAUGAAGUCAGAGUCGCUAGUAAUCGCAGAUUAAAAACGCUGCGGUGAAUACGUUACUGGGCCUUGUUCUCACCGCCAGACAAGUCACGAAGGUC
Molecule: ribosomal RNA, 615 nt
Filed under: Janibacter terrae
Lineage: Bacteria; Bacillati; Actinomycetota; Actinomycetes; Micrococcales; Intrasporangiaceae
Description: bacterial SSU rRNA
Rfam family: Bacterial small subunit ribosomal RNA (bases 79-615)
Source: RNAcentral